This 1372-nucleotide ribosomal RNA is filed under the name uncultured bacterium. RNAcentral describes it as "bacterial SSU rRNA". It matches the Rfam family "Bacterial small subunit ribosomal RNA", at positions 28 to 1381 of the family's 1533-position model. The record is from RNAcentral.
GAUGAACGCUGGCGGCGUGCCUAAUACAUGCAAGUCGAGCGAACGGACGAGAAGCUUGCUUCUCUGAUGUUAGCGGCGGGCGGGUGAGUAACACGUGGAUAACCUACCUAUAAGACUGGGAUAACUUCGGGAAACCGGAGCUAAUACCGGAUAAUAUUUUGAACCGCAUGGUUCAAAAGUGAAAGACGGUCUUGCUGUCACUUAUAGAUGGAUCCGCGCUGCAUUAGCUAGUUGGUAAGGUAACGGCUUACCAAGGCAACGAUGCAUAGCCGACCUGAGAGGGUGAUCGGCCACACUGGAACUGAGACACGGUCCAGACUCCUACGGGAGGCAGCAGUAGGGAAUCUUCCGCAAUGGGCGAAAGCCUGACGGAGCAACGCCGCGUGAGUGAUGAAGGUCUUCGGAUCGUAAAACUCUGUUAUUAGGGAAGAACAUAUGUGUAAGUAACUGUGCACAUCUUGACGGUACCUAAUCAGAAAGCCACGGCUAACUACGUGCCAGCAGCCGCGGUAAUACGUAGGUGGCAAGCGUUAUCCGGAAUUAUUGGGCGUAAAGCGCGCGUAGGCGGUUUUUUAAGUCUGAUGUGAAAGCCCACGGCUCAACCGUGGAGGGUCAUUGGAAACUGGAAAACUUGAGUGCAGAAGAGGAAAGUGGAAUUCCAUGUGUAGCGGUGAAAUGCGCAGAGAUAUGGAGGAACACCAGUGGCGAAGGCGACUUUCUGGUCUGUAACUGACGCUGAUGUGCGAAAGCGUGGGGAUCAAACAGGAUUAGAUACCCUGGUAGUCCACGCCGUAAACGAUGAGUGCUAAGUGUUAGGGGGUUUCCGCCCCUUAGUGCUGCAGCUAACGCAUUAAGCACUCCGCCUGGGGAGUACGACCGCAAGGUUGAAACUCAAAGGAAUUGACGGGGACCCGCACAAGCGGUGGAGCAUGUGGUUUAAUUCGAAGCAACGCGAAGAACCUUACCAAAUCUUGACAUCCUUUGACAACUCUAGAGAUAGAGCCUUCCCCUUCGGGGGACAAAGUGACAGGUGGUGCAUGGUUGUCGUCAGCUCGUGUCGUGAGAUGUUGGGUUAAGUCCCGCAACGAGCGCAACCCUUAAGCUUAGUUGCCAUCAUUAAGUUGGGCACUCUAAGUUGACUGCCGGUGACAAACCGGAGGAAGGUGGGGAUGACGUCAAAUCAUCAUGCCCCUUAUGAUUUGGGCUACACACGUGCUACAAUGGACAAUACAAAGGGCAGCGAAACCGCGAGGUCAAGCAAAUCCCAUAAAGUUGUUCUCAGUUCGAAUUGUAGUCUGCAACUCGACUACAUGAAGCUGGAAUCGCUAGUAAUCGUAGAUCAGCAUGCUACGGUGAAUACGUUCCCGGGUCU